GCCUUUGCAGACAGCAGUUCUCUCCAACAACAUAAAAGAACACACACAGGAGAGAAACCCUAUGAAUGUAACCAAUGUGGCAAAGCCUUUGUACGCAGCAGGACUCUCCAAAGACAUAUAAGAACACACAGAGAAGAGAAGCCCUAUGAGUGUAACGAAUGUGGCAAAGCCUUUGCACAAAGGAGUAAUCUCAAAAGACAUUAAAGAACAUAUAAUUGAGAAAAACCUUAUGAAUUAACCAGUGUUGCAAACCCUUUGUAAAAUGUGGUGAU
This 272-nucleotide long non-coding RNA is filed under the name Rattus norvegicus (Norway rat). Its description in RNAcentral is "long non-coding RNA NONRATT018956". The record is from RNAcentral. Lineage: Eukaryota; Metazoa; Chordata; Mammalia; Rodentia; Muridae.